AGGAGCCAACAUCAAAGGUUAAUAUCGCAGGGCCUGGAGGUGAGAGAUUCUCCAUGGAUUCUUCUUGUGAAUUGGAGGGGCCAAGUGUCUUUCAUCUUCUAGGCUCCACAUAGGAGGGGCCAGCUCCCCCAGGGAGGCCAUCAAGUCCAGGCCCAGAUGUCUCAUCCCUGCAGCUGACAGACUCUAAACAAGCUAUUGGGCCAGAGAGCCCUCAGAAUGGGGCCAAGUGAGCUGCGUUACUGAGGCAGUCAGCCCUAGGUGGUGAGAGAGGCCCAGGCCAUUCCCUCCAGCUGAAAGUAGCUUCUCUUUUCAGCCCAGUGUGCUCUUCAAGUUGUCAUUUCCUGGUACUUUAACAUGAAAAGGUAAGGAAUCUGAAGUUCAGAGAAUGUAAGUAACUGCUCCAAGGUCAUCCAUGUAGGGUUGAGGGUCUGAACCAAUUCCCUCUCUCCCUAAGUCUACACUCAACCAGUAUACCGUGGCACCAUUUAUUUUGACAAGAAGAAUUACCAACAGAUAAAAAGCAAAAAAGUGAUGUUUCCUCCAAAGGGAAGAUAGACUUCAGGAAUCUGCUUGCACCCCCCUGGCUCUGGGCACCUCACCUGUGCAAUUCCAGACCAGGCCAUCUGUCCUCAAGAGGCCGCUGGCCUCAGAGCCUUCUACCCCGUCAAGAAGAGCCUUUCUCUCCCCACUUAUGGGGGAUCAUCUGCUUAAACUAGGCCGGAGUCAUAAUCAUUCAUUCCAGAAGGGGCUGUGAUUCACAUCUGAGCUUCAGAAAAUGGUUUAGUUUGAUUUAAAGGGGAGAUGAAAGCAAAAUAAAUGCUCAGAUGCUGACAAA
Molecule: long non-coding RNA, 835 nt
Filed under: Homo sapiens (human)
Lineage: Eukaryota; Metazoa; Chordata; Mammalia; Primates; Hominidae
Description: novel transcript, antisense to NMNAT2
Source: RNAcentral